AUUUUCGAAGGAUUCAUUAUUUACGCUAAAUCCGCCGAUCCUCCGACGAACUCCCACAUGCUUGGGUAGACGCUAAGUUCGGGGAGCUUAGAGCGCGCGUCUUCGUCUUUCGCUUCUUACUUCUCCAACUCUGGAAUCACGGUCAUACCUCAAGAAUCGGCGACACGAGUUUCGCUGCCCUGAUGUCUCUCGUCUGUGAAAUAAACUGAACUCGCAGGCCCACGAUUUAUAUCGCCACCAACGGCGAUUCCGACGACCUUUAAUGGCUGCUCUGUUACUCCAGCGGAGAGUCUCGGCUUUGGGUGUCACUUCCAUUCUCAAAGAUCAUGUGGAGUCGUUUUGGCUGUGGCUGGAAUCAAAGUGCAGAUAUGAAACGGCUGUAUUAAAAACGAAAAGGCACUAUGGAAGCUGCAGCGGCACGAGAAAGUUUGAAUUCACAGACCUAAAAGAUGGGCGUUGCAGCAUUUCCAACAAGUUGGAUCUCAUGGACCUAACUCGUCCUCAUACAUGGUACCCCAUGGCUCGGAAGAAAAAGCGCAAGGUCAUUCUCCAUGUAGGUCCUACUAACAGUGGCAAAACACAUUCUGCAUUGAAGCAACUGGAGCUGAGUUUGUCAGGUGUAUACUGCGGUCCCUUGAGGUUAUUGGCAUGGGAAGUGGCUACAAGAAUGAAUAAAGCAAAAGUUCCCUGUGAUUUGAUUACGGGACAAGAAAGGGAGGAAGUUGAAGGUGCAAAGCACAAGUCUAUGACAGUUGAGAUGGCUGAUGUUACGUCAGACUACCAUUGUGCCAUUAUUGAUGAAAUCCAGAUGGUGGGAUGUAAGACGAGGGGAUAUUCGUUUACACGAGCGCUACUGGGACUUGCUGCUGAUGAGCUCCAUCUUUGCGGAGAUGCAGCGGUAGUUGCUCUUGUUGAAGAUAUAGUGAAAGUGACAGGCGAUGAUCUUGAGAUUCACUAUUAUGAGAGACUUUCACCUCUGGUCCCACUGAAAGUUCCUCUGCGAUCUUUUUCUGAAAUACGAAAAGGCGAUUGUAUGGUCACCUUUUCCCGUCCUGGAAUUUUCCAAUUGAAGAAGCAAAUUGAAAGAGUGGGAGAACAUCGUUGUGCUGUUGUUUAUGGUUCAUUGCCACCUCAGACUCGAACAAGACAGGCAACCAUGUUCAAUGAUGCAAAUAGCGAAUUUGAUGUUCUUGUUGCUAGUGAUGCCAUUGGAAUGGGUCUCAAUCUGCAAAUUUCCAGGCUCAUAUUUUCAUCGAUGACAAAAUUCGAUGGUAUAGAGUUUCGUGAGCUAACUGUACCAGAGAUCAAGCAAAUUGCAGGGAGGGCCGGCAGGUAUGGAUCCAAAUAUCCUGUUGGUGAAGUGACUUGUGUAGACAAAGAGGAUUUACCUUUGCUUCACGCAGCUCUGAGUGCCGCAUCGCCUACUCUAGAGUGUGCAGGAUUAUUUCCAACCUUCGAUCUUUUACUGAUGUACUCACGUUUAAACCCACAAUAUGGUUUUCGGCAGAUAUUGGAGCAUUUUCUAGAGAAUGCCAAGCUAUCUGAAAACUACUUCAUUGCUAACUGCGAAGAUAUGUUGAAAGUAGCCGCUAUUGUCGAUGAAUUGCCUGUCGCUUUGCGUGAGAAGUACCUUUUUUGUCUCAGUCCAGUUGACGUGAACGAUGACAUUUCAACCCAAGGUCUUAUACAGUUUGCACAGAACUAUUCGAAGAGAGGCAUUGUCCAUCUCCGAGAAAUAUUUACUCCGGGGACGCUUCAGGUGCCAAAAACACAUAGAGCAAUGAAGGAACUUGAAUCAAUUCACAAGGUUCUGGAGCUGUAUGUCUGGUUGAGUUUUCGAAUGGAGGAUUCAUUCCCCGACUCUGAGGUGGCGGCUUCCCAGAAGGCUAUCUGUAGCCAGUUGAUUGAGGAGUUCCUGGAGAGAUAUGGGUUGCAGAUGCCAAGAGGAAAGAAGUUGCCAUUGCGCAAGAGCUCUAGUUCUAUACUCCAGUAAGAAGACAAACUUUAUAUUGGAUUGCCACACUUCGCACCAGCCUUGGGCAUACACACCUGAUGGAUGGUGGAAUGGGAAAAGAUCGGCGUGCCCUGUCAGACGCCUGUAUCCCAUCCCACCAGCCUGGUAGAGUUUCACCAAUGGCGUCUCGGGCGACUGUCAAAUUGGUGUAGGCGAGCGUGCAUUGGAGUCACUGGUGACUUUGUCGGUACUGACAUGCGCAUGAAUGAUCGGUGUUAAGAAAAUACUUCGCCGGACCAACAAAAUAGCUGUUGCCUUGAAGUCAGAAUGACUACCCUCAUUAGACCGAAGUGACAGCCCUUUGUUGAUGGGGGCACGCAACACAUACGGAUAGGAAGAUAAUUAGUUUUUUCAACUACUAUAUUGUCGGUGAAAUGAAGUUUGAGGCUGUAUUAUCUUGUUUUGGCAUGUACAAAGAGAUGCACAAAACUAAAUUCUGAUUAGUGUGAACGUAUCUCCAUACUUAACAUCAGA
Rhodamnia argentea is the source of this 2488-nucleotide RNA transcript. It is a transcript of the gene named DExH-box ATP-dependent RNA helicase DExH16, mitochondrial, with no coding region annotated. The transcript is spliced from 17 exons. NCBI's taxonomy places the organism in Eukaryota, Viridiplantae, Streptophyta, Magnoliopsida, Myrtales, Myrtaceae. The record is from RefSeq and is a predicted model, not a curated record.